This 71-nucleotide transfer RNA is filed under the name Tachycineta cyaneoviridis. Its description in RNAcentral is "tRNA-Gln". It matches the Rfam family "tRNA". From Rfam's summary of the family: Transfer RNA (tRNA) molecules are approximately 80 nucleotides in length. Their secondary structure includes four short double-helical elements and three loops (D, anti-codon, and T loops). The record is from RNAcentral. Lineage: Eukaryota; Metazoa; Chordata; Aves; Passeriformes; Hirundinidae.
UAGAAAGUAAUAUAAGGGAAGUAUGGAGAGUUUUGAUUUCUCUAGUGCGGGUUCGAUUCCUGCUUUUCUAA